GGGCCCGCACAAGCGGUGGAGCAUGUGGUUUAAUUCGAUGAUACGCGAGGAACCUUACCAGGACUUAAAUGUAAGUUGCAUGAUUCAGAAAUGGAUCUUUCUUCGGACUACUUACAAGGUGCUGCAUGGUUGUCGUCAGCUCGUGCCGUGAGGUGUCAGGUUAAGUCCUAUAACGAGCGCAACCCCUAUCGUUAGUUGCCAUCAAGUAAAGUUGGGAACUCUAGCGAAACUGCCGGUGCAAACCGUGAGGAAGGUGGGGAUGACGUCAAAUCAUCACGGCCCUUACGUUCUGGGCUACACACGUGCUACAAUGGCCGGUACAGAAAGCAGCCACUAUGCGAAUAGGAGCUAAUCUUCAAAGCCGGUCUCAGUUCGGAUCGCAGUCUGCAACUCGACUGCGUGAAGCUGGAAUCGCUAGUAAUCGG
This 425-nucleotide ribosomal RNA is filed under the name uncultured bacterium. RNAcentral describes it as "bacterial SSU rRNA". It matches the Rfam family "Bacterial small subunit ribosomal RNA", at positions 917 to 1345 of the family's 1533-position model. The record is from RNAcentral.